AUGGAUCAUUAAAACAAAAGUCUUCUGACUUUAUACCUGCUGUGAAUUUGUUUCUAAUCUGGAAUGGGUAUGCGUGAAAGCUUCGUAUUUCACUGCAUGCUUUUUUCCACUUUUCUUCAUUAUUUACCCUUAUGUAUCGACUUGAUGUACAAUUUCUUUCUUUUUUGAAAGAAAACAUAUGAAAUUUUCGUGCAACUCUUAGCAACGGAUAUCUUGGCUCCC
RNAcentral lists this unclassified non-coding RNA (222 nucleotides) under uncultured fungus. RNAcentral's name for it is "partial contains 18S rRNA, ITS1, 5.8S rRNA, ITS2 and 28S rRNA". The record is from RNAcentral. Lineage: Eukaryota; Fungi.